RNAcentral lists this ribosomal RNA (260 nucleotides) under uncultured Oscillospiraceae bacterium. RNAcentral's name for it is "partial 16S ribosomal RNA". It matches the Rfam family "Bacterial small subunit ribosomal RNA", at positions 81 to 339 of the family's 1533-position model. Lineage: Bacteria; Bacillati; Bacillota; Clostridia; Eubacteriales; Oscillospiraceae. The record is from RNAcentral.
UAACAAUGGCUUUAGUGGCGGACUGGUGAGUAACACGUGAGCAACCUGCCUAUCAGAGGGGAAUAACAAUGAGAAAUCAUUGCUAAUACCGCAUAAGCUUGUAGUACCGCAUGGUACAACAAGAAAAGGAGCAAUCCGCUAAUAGAUGAGCUUGCGGCUGAUUAGCUAGUUGGUGUGGUAACGGCCCACCAAGGCGACGAUCAGUAGCCGGACUGAGAGGUUGAACGGCCACAUUGGGACUGAGACACGGCCCAAACUCC